UAGGGAAUCUUCGGCAAUGGACGAAAGUCUGACCGAGCAACGCCGCGUGAGUGAAGAAGGUUUUCGGAUCGUAAAACUCUGUUGGUAGAGAAGAACGUUGGUGAGAGUGGAAAGCUCAUCAAGUGACGGUAACGUACCCAGAAAGGGACGGCUAACUACGUGCCAG
This 166-nucleotide ribosomal RNA is filed under the name uncultured bacterium. Its description in RNAcentral is "partial 16S rRNA". It matches the Rfam family "Bacterial small subunit ribosomal RNA", at positions 355 to 511 of the family's 1533-position model. The record is from RNAcentral.